UACGAAGGGGACUAGCGUUGUUCGGAUUUACUGGGCGUAAAGCGCGCGUAGGCGGAUCGCUAAGUCAGGGGUGAAAGCCCAGGGCUCAACCCUGGAAUGGCCUUUGAUACUGGACGUCUCGAGACCGGAAGAGGUUGGUGGAACUGCGAGUGUAGAGGUGAAAUUCGUAGAUAUUCGCAAGAACACCAGUGGCGAAGGCGGCCAACUGGUCCGGUUCUGACGCUGAGGCGCGAAAGCGUGGGGAGCAAACAGG
Molecule: ribosomal RNA, 253 nt
Filed under: uncultured bacterium
Lineage: Bacteria
Description: partial 16S ribosomal RNA
Rfam family: Bacterial small subunit ribosomal RNA
Source: RNAcentral